UACGGGGGGAGCAAGCGUUGUUCGGAUUUACUGGGCGUAAAGGGCGCGUAGGCGGUCGUGACAAGUCACUUGUGAAAUCUCCGGGCUUAACUCGGAACGGUCAACUGAUACUGUCGGGCUAGAGUGCAGAAGGGGCAACUGGAAUUCUCGGUGUAGCGGUGAAAUGCGUAGAUAUCGAGAGGAACACCUGCGGCGAAGGCGGGUUGCUGGGCUGACACUGACGCUGAGGCGCGAAAGCUAGGGGAGCGAACGGG
RNAcentral lists this ribosomal RNA (254 nucleotides) under uncultured bacterium. RNAcentral describes it as "partial 16S ribosomal RNA". It matches the Rfam family "Bacterial small subunit ribosomal RNA", at positions 524 to 776 of the family's 1533-position model. The record is from RNAcentral.